Non-coding RNA from Carlito syrichta (Philippine tarsier), 67 nucleotides. The record is from Ensembl. NCBI's taxonomy places the organism in Eukaryota, Metazoa, Chordata, Mammalia, Primates, Tarsiidae.
UGGUAGUUAGUUUAAGUAAAAUAAAUGAUUUCGACUCAUUAGAUUAUGCACAGCGCAUAAUUACCAA